RNAcentral lists this transfer RNA (72 nucleotides) under Camelus bactrianus (Bactrian camel). It matches the Rfam family "tRNA". From Rfam's summary of the family: Transfer RNA (tRNA) molecules are approximately 80 nucleotides in length. RNAcentral also lists the same sequence under 2 other names. The record is from Rfam by way of RNAcentral. Lineage: Eukaryota; Metazoa; Chordata; Mammalia; Artiodactyla; Camelidae.
GAGGAUAUAGCUCAGUGGCAAAGCAUGUGUUUAGCAUGCACGAGGUCUUGGAUUCAAUCCCCAGUACUUCCA